CCUUGUACACACCGCCCGUCACACCAUGGGAGUCGUUUGCUCCAGAAAUCCCUACGCCAACCGCAAGGAGGCAGGGGCUCAAGGAGUGAACGGUAACUGGGGUG
This 104-nucleotide ribosomal RNA is filed under the name uncultured bacterium. RNAcentral's name for it is "partial 16S ribosomal RNA". It matches the Rfam family "Bacterial small subunit ribosomal RNA", at positions 1379 to 1482 of the family's 1533-position model. The record is from RNAcentral.